RNAcentral lists this ribosomal RNA (374 nucleotides) under uncultured bacterium. RNAcentral's name for it is "bacterial SSU rRNA". It matches the Rfam family "Bacterial small subunit ribosomal RNA", at positions 29 to 393 of the family's 1533-position model. The record is from RNAcentral.
AACGAACGCUGGCGGCGCGCCUAAUACAUGCAAGUCGAGCGAGAAGACGUAGCAAUACGUUUGUAAAGCGGCGAACGGGUGAGGAAUACAUGGGUAACCUACCCUCGAGUGGGGAAUAACUAGCCGAAAGGUUAGCUAAUACCGCGUACGCUCCUUGGACUUCGGUUCAGGGAGGAAAGCGAUACCGUGGGUAUCGCGCUCUUGGAUGGGCUCAUGUCCUAUCAGCUUGUUGGUGAGGUAACGGCUCACCAAGGCUUCGACGGGUAGCUGGUCUGAGAGGACGAUCAGCCACACUGGCACUGCGACACGGGCCAGACUCCUACGGGAGGCAGCAGUAAGGAAUAUUGCGCAAUGGGCGAAAGCCUGACGCAGCG